CCUACGGGCGGCAGCAGUGGGGAAUAUUUGACAAUGGGGGGAACCCUGAUCCAGCCAUGCCGCGUGUGUGAAGAAGGCCCUCGGGUUGUAAAGCACUUUCAGUGAGGAAGAACGCCUGGUGGUUAAUACCCAUCAGGAAAGACAUCACUCACAGAAGAAGCACCGGCUAACUCCGUGCCAGCAGCCGCGGUAAUACGGAGGGUGCGAGCGUUAAUCGGAAUUACUGGGCGUAAAGCGCGCGUAGGUGGCUUGAUAAGCCGGUUGUGAAAGCCCCGGGCUCAACCUGGGAACGGCAUCCGGAACUGUCAAGCUAGAGUGCAGGAGAGGAAGGUAGAAUUCCCGGUGUAGCGGUGAAAUGCGUAGAGAUCGGGAGGAAUACCAGUGGCGAAGGCGGCCUUCUGGACUGACACUGACACUGAGGUGCGAAAGCGUGGGUAGCAAACAGGAUUAGAUACCCCAGUAGUC
This 465-nucleotide ribosomal RNA is filed under the name Vreelandella stevensii. Its description in RNAcentral is "partial 16S ribosomal RNA". It matches the Rfam family "Bacterial small subunit ribosomal RNA", at positions 338 to 795 of the family's 1533-position model. The record is from RNAcentral. Lineage: Bacteria; Pseudomonadati; Pseudomonadota; Gammaproteobacteria; Oceanospirillales; Halomonadaceae.